This is a small nuclear RNA of Erinaceus europaeus (western European hedgehog), 126 nucleotides long. Its record names the gene U2. It matches the Rfam family "U2 spliceosomal RNA". From Rfam's summary of the family: U2 is a small nuclear RNA (snRNA) component of the spliceosome (involved in pre-mRNA splicing). Complementary binding between U2 snRNA (in an area lying towards the 5' end but 3' to hairpin I) and the branchpoint sequence (BPS) of the intron results the bulging out of an unpaired adenosine, on the BPS, which initiates a nucleophilic attack at the intronic 5' splice site, thus starting the first of two transesterification reactions that mediate splicing. The record is from Ensembl. Lineage: Eukaryota; Metazoa; Chordata; Mammalia; Eulipotyphla; Erinaceidae.
AUUGCUUCUCGGCCUUUUGGCUAAGAUCAAGUGUAGUACCUCAGCAUGUUUAACUUCAGACUGUGUCCAGAGACGUCAGGUGCGGAAUUUCAACCCUCCAGCUUCAUUACUCUGGUGAGAACUUUC